UUUUCAUAUUUGAGCACAAAUAUGGCGGGAUAUUUUUUAUUUCUACUUAGUAUUGUAUUAGUCGCUUCAACUGCUUUAAGAAUAGAGGAACACUGUGAUUUUCAGUUUGGUGAUCCAAAUUGGGGAAUAUCUAAAGUUGUAUACGACCGUGCUUCCUGGUUCCCGGAAGGGCAGGACAAAUGGAAUAUUUUUUUACCGAAAGACAAAGGCAUGAUCAGCUUCAUCUGUGUCAAGGUAUCUGUGGACUACAAGAAAAUGAUGAGAGUGCAAUACUCGCCAAUAUUUCAUAAGUUAACUUUAAAACUAGACAGACCGGCGCCGAAACAAUUCCUUUUCCAUGUUAAAGCUAAGGCACAUGGUUAUUAGUUAAAAACUUAAAACAUUUGUUUUACCGUCAAAGUACCGUUAAAAUUGACAGCUGUAUGUAGUUCUGGGGCCCGAUUCUCCUAAGUUAAUAAUGUCAAAAUCGAAUAGAAAUCGAAUCGCGAUAUGAUUGCAAUAGCAGUUUUAACCUUAUCGGGCAUUCUGCUACUAAUAUAAGACCAAUCGUAUUCCAACGACAUUCGAUUGGUGUGCGAUUGGUCUGCUAUUUUGGUGAUUUUGGUCUAUACGGCAGUUUGCUGUACAAUCACUUUGCAAUCGUAAAUCAUUCGCAGACAAAAUGAUUCAUUAUUGAAUGACAGAAAAGGAUAAAAACGUUUAUUUCAAAGAAAAAAUAGCGGAAUGCCAUAUACGCUUCAAUCGUAAUCGAGUCAUAAUUGUAUGUCGCUUAAGUAAAAUUAGGAGAAUCGGGCCCCUGUAUGUAACUAUGUAAUAUAUAUAAUCACUUAUAAUACCACAAGAGCUUCAAAAUUAUCGGGUAUUUUCCGAUAGGUUCGUUGCAAACAAAUGAAGGAGUCAAGUUUUUCAGGUUAAAAAAUAACGAGCGCGAAGCGCGAGUGAUUUUUCCUGAAAAACUUGACGACUUUAUUUGUUUGCAGGGAACCUUGAGGGAAAUGCCAGAUAAUUAUGAAGCUCGUGUGGUAUUCGGGAGAUUAUUUUUCCGUCCCAAAUGUCGGCCACAACCUGUCAGUUUGACGUAGCAACGACCAGAGAAAAUAUUCAAAAAAUUUUCAGUAUAAUACCAUGUAGGUUGUACCACGUGACGUCGAAUGGUGCAAUUCUAUUGGUCGAUAUUUGGGUCGGAAAAAUAAUCACUUAUAAUACCACAAGAGCUUCAAAAUUAUCGGGUAUUUUCCGAUAGGUUCGUUGCAAACAAAUGAAGGAGUCAAGUUUUUCAGGUUAAAAAAUAACGAGCGCGAAGCGCGAGUGAUUUUUCC
Molecule: long non-coding RNA, 1319 nt
Organism: Helicoverpa armigera (cotton bollworm)
Lineage: Eukaryota; Metazoa; Arthropoda; Insecta; Lepidoptera; Noctuidae
Exons: 3
Source: RefSeq, a predicted model, not a curated record